UGCGGGGUAGUCUAAUGGUAGGACAUCGGUCUUUGAAGCCGACCGUGAAGGUUCGAUUCCUUCCCCCGCAGCCA
RNAcentral lists this transfer RNA (74 nucleotides) under bacterium. RNAcentral describes it as "tRNA-Gln". It matches the Rfam family "tRNA". From Rfam's summary of the family: Transfer RNA (tRNA) molecules are approximately 80 nucleotides in length. Their secondary structure includes four short double-helical elements and three loops (D, anti-codon, and T loops). RNAcentral also lists the same sequence under 1 other name. The record is from RNAcentral.